This 82-nucleotide transfer RNA is filed under the name Hippoglossus stenolepis (Pacific halibut). RNAcentral describes it as "tRNA-Ser". It matches the Rfam family "tRNA". Rfam says of the family: Transfer RNA (tRNA) molecules are approximately 80 nucleotides in length. Their secondary structure includes four short double-helical elements and three loops (D, anti-codon, and T loops). Further hydrogen bonds mediate the characteristic L-shaped molecular structure. tRNAs have two regions of fundamental functional importance: the anti-codon, which is responsible for specific mRNA codon recognition, and the 3' end, to which the tRNAs corresponding amino acid is attached (by aminoacyl-tRNA synthetases). tRNAs cope with the degeneracy of the genetic code in two manners: having more than one tRNA (with a specific anti-codon) for a particular amino acid; and 'wobble' base-pairing, i.e. permitting non-standard base-pairing at the 3rd anti-codon position. Lineage: Eukaryota; Metazoa; Chordata; Actinopteri; Pleuronectiformes; Pleuronectidae. The record is from RNAcentral.
GUUGUUGUUGCCGAGUGGUUAAGGCGAUGGACUAGAAAUGCAUUGGGGUUUCCCCGCGCAGGUUCAAAUUCUGCCAACAACG